This 62-nucleotide microRNA precursor is filed under the name Ascaris suum (pig roundworm). Its description in RNAcentral is "Asu-Mir-1_pre stem-loop". It matches the Rfam family "mir-1 microRNA precursor family", at positions 11 to 69 of the family's 79-position model. From Rfam's summary of the family: This family represents the microRNA (miRNA) mir-1 family. miRNAs are transcribed as ~70nt precursors (modelled here) and subsequently processed by the Dicer enzyme to give a ~22nt product. In this case the mature sequence comes from the 3' arm of the precursor. The record is from RNAcentral. Lineage: Eukaryota; Metazoa; Nematoda; Chromadorea; Rhabditida; Ascarididae.
CGUACUUCUUUACAUCGCCAUACUGGUAUUUCAAAGAGCUAUGGAAUGUAAAGAAGUAUGUA